This 74-nucleotide transfer RNA is filed under the name Bacteroidaceae bacterium. RNAcentral's name for it is "tRNA-Val". It matches the Rfam family "tRNA". Rfam says of the family: Transfer RNA (tRNA) molecules are approximately 80 nucleotides in length. Their secondary structure includes four short double-helical elements and three loops (D, anti-codon, and T loops). The record is from RNAcentral. Lineage: Bacteria; Pseudomonadati; Bacteroidota; Bacteroidia; Bacteroidales; Bacteroidaceae.
ACCAGAAUGGUCUAGAUGGUUAAGACACUGCCCUAACACGGCGGAGAGCGUCGGUCCGAAUCCGACUUCCGGUC